GAAAGAGGAUUUACGGUCGCGCUUUAUGACCUAACUUAAAGUGAGGAAAGUCCGAGCUCCAAAGAGCCGGGAUGCCCGGUAACGCCGGGGCGGAGAGAUCCGACGGAAAGUGCCGCAGAAAAUAGACUGCCCACCUGCUAAUCUUAUGAUUGGCAGCGGCAAAGGUGAAAACGAGGUGUAAGAGACCCCGCUCGCGCAAAGCAGACUUUGACGAGGGUAAACCCCAUCCGGAGCAAGGCCAAAUAGGAAAAUAGGGGCUGGCUCGCCCUGCACUAUUUUCGGGUAGGCCGCAUUGAGCCGGCAGGUAACUGCCCGGCCCAGAUAAAUGACUGUACUGCCUUUGGGCAGAACAGAACUCGGCUUAUGAUCCUCUCUCUACU
This 380-nucleotide RNase P RNA is filed under the name Candidatus Zixiibacteriota bacterium. Its description in RNAcentral is "candidate division Zixibacteria bacterium RNase P RNA component class A". It matches the Rfam family "Bacterial RNase P class A". Rfam says of the family: Ribonuclease P (RNase P) is a ubiquitous endoribonuclease, found in archaea, bacteria and eukarya as well as chloroplasts and mitochondria. Its best characterised activity is the generation of mature 5'-ends of tRNAs by cleaving the 5'-leader elements of precursor-tRNAs. Cellular RNase Ps are ribonucleoproteins. The record is from RNAcentral. Lineage: Bacteria; Pseudomonadati; Candidatus Zixiibacteriota.